Molecule: ribosomal RNA, 248 nt
Filed under: uncultured Actinomycetales bacterium
Lineage: Bacteria; Bacillati; Actinomycetota; Actinomycetes; Actinomycetales
Description: partial 16S ribosomal RNA
Rfam family: Bacterial small subunit ribosomal RNA
Source: RNAcentral
CGGAGGUACUCGAGUGGCGAACGGGUGAGUAACACGUGGGUGAUCUGCCCUGCACUCUGGGAUAAGCCUGGGAAACUGGGUCUAAUACCGGAUAGGACCAUGCUUUAGUGUGUGCGGUGGAAAGUUUUUCGGUGUAGGAUGAGCCCGCGGCCUAUCAGCUUGUUGGUGGGGUAAUGGCCUACCAAGGCGGCGACGGGUAGCCGGACUGAGAGGUUGGUCGGCCACAUUGGGACUGAGAUACGGCCCAG